This 253-nucleotide ribosomal RNA is filed under the name uncultured bacterium. RNAcentral's name for it is "partial 16S ribosomal RNA". It matches the Rfam family "Bacterial small subunit ribosomal RNA", at positions 524 to 776 of the family's 1533-position model. The record is from RNAcentral.
UACGGAGGGGGCCAGCGUUGUUCGGAAUCACUGGGCGUAAAGGGUGCGUAGGCGGCGGUGUAAGUCAGAUGUGGAAUGCCAGGGCUCAACCUUGGAACUGCAUCCGAUACUGCAUUGCUUGAGUACUGGAGGGGAGUCUGGAAUUCACGGUGGAGCAGUGAAAUGCGUGGAUAUCGUGAGGAACACUAGUGGCGAAGGCGAGACUCUGGACAGUUACUGACGCUGAGGCACGAAGGCCAGGGGAGCAAACGGG